GUGAGGAAUUUUCCGCAAUGGGCGAAAGCCUGACGGAGCAAUGCCGCGUGAAGGAUGAAGGCCUAUGGGUUGUAAACUUCUUUUCUCAGAAAAGAAUUAUGACGGUAUCUGAGGAAUAAGCAUCGGCUAACUCUGUGCCAGCAGCCGCGGUAAGACAGAGGAUGCAAGCGUUAUCCGGAAUGAUUGGGCGUAAAGCGUCUGUAGGUUGUUUAAAAAGUAUUCUGUCAAAGAUUAGGGCUUAACCCUAGAUAGGCAGAAUAAACUUUUAAGCUAGAGUUUGGUAGAGGCAGAGGGAAUUCCCGGUGGAGCGGUGAAAUGCGUAGAUAUCGGGAGGAACACCAAAGGCGAAGGCACUCUGCUGGGCCAAUACUAACACUGAGAGACGAAAGCGAGGGGAGCAAAUGGGAUUAGAUACCCCUGUGUCC
This 425-nucleotide ribosomal RNA is filed under the name uncultured bacterium. Its description in RNAcentral is "partial 16S ribosomal RNA". It matches the Rfam family "Bacterial small subunit ribosomal RNA", at positions 354 to 796 of the family's 1533-position model. The record is from RNAcentral.